This 406-nucleotide ribosomal RNA is filed under the name uncultured bacterium. Its description in RNAcentral is "partial 16S ribosomal RNA". It matches the Rfam family "Bacterial small subunit ribosomal RNA", at positions 30 to 526 of the family's 1533-position model. The record is from RNAcentral.
AUUGAACGCUGGCGGCAGGCCUAACACAUGCAAGUCGAACGAGUUGCGGACGGGUGAGUAAUUUCUGGGAACCUGCCUGAUGGAGGGGGAUCACUACUGGAAACGGUAGCUAAUACCGCAUACCAUCGGAUGUGCCCAGCUGGGCUUAGCUAGUAGGUGGGGUAAAGGCUCACCUAGGCGACGCUCCCUAGCUGCUCUGAGAGGAGGACCAGCCACACUGGAACUGAGACACGGUCCAGACUCCUACGGGAGGCAGCAGUGGGGAAUAUUGCACAAUGGGCGUAAGCCUGAUGCAGCCAUGCUGCGUGUAUGAAUAAGGCCUUCGGGUUGUAAAGUACUGUCAGCGGGGAGGCGUUACCCGCAGAAGAAGCACCGGCUAACUCCGUGCCAGCAGCCGCGGUAAUUC